AUUGGCCUAGUUGGCAGAGCAACAGCCUGCGACGCGUUGUGUCGUGGUUUCGAUUCCUGCCGGCA
This 65-nucleotide transfer RNA is filed under the name Cryptomonas curvata. The record is from RNAcentral. Lineage: Eukaryota; Cryptophyceae; Cryptomonadales; Cryptomonadaceae.